UCGCUUGUGCUCGUGCCAUAACGGCCGGCAGUGCUCCGAAAGGUGAGCACUGCCUUCGGCACGCCGAGACCUGUCAGCAGGUGUCUCGGUUUGGCUGAAUGAUUUCUAGUUUGUGUAGACGGACCAUAAAAGCGCCGAAAUCACAUGAAAUAAUGCGAUUUCGGGUAAUCGGGAGGGCUUUUAUGUAUUUUGGGUUGUUGCGGCUGCUGUUGGCAGCAUGGGUGAGCAGUGGGUAACCUUUGGACUGAUUGUCCAAGGCCCCGGACCUUUGCGAAGAUCGGAAAUGUAUUUUCGGUGCGUUUGUCGGCAAAAUCCGCCGACGGAACGCGGUUUUGGUUCGGAAUUAUUCCGACGGUGCUUCGUGAGCUAUUGUGUAGUCGCUGAGCCUUGUUGGCUGGUCACUCGCGUCAUUUCGAGAGUUCAGAAAUGACGAGUGAGCGACGGUGGGUUCCGUUGUCGAAAUUGACACUUCCGGGAACCCGGAUCCCAACAAUUAUCCACCAAUAGUUGUUUGGUUGUGUAUCCUUGUGUUUGCUGCCAUGUCACACUAAAAUAAGUGUUUAGUGGCAGCGAAUGACUCGUGGCAUGAGUCGGUGCCUUCCGGGAUAGUUAGUGGGUCCCGGCGGAGUGCCGGUGCGAUUUUCGGGACUUCCGGCGAGUUAGGUAAUCGGUAUUGGGAAAUCGAUUUCUGUGAGAUUGUUUGUGGGCUAUGCUUUUAGGGUUUCUUAGCUGUGGGUUAGACACUAAC
This 748-nucleotide long non-coding RNA is filed under the name Ananas comosus (pineapple). Its description in RNAcentral is "long non-coding RNA (ACOM_LNC044652)". The record is from RNAcentral. Lineage: Eukaryota; Viridiplantae; Streptophyta; Magnoliopsida; Poales; Bromeliaceae.